This is a long non-coding RNA of Bos taurus (domestic cattle), 2248 nucleotides long. NCBI's taxonomy places the organism in Eukaryota, Metazoa, Chordata, Mammalia, Artiodactyla, Bovidae. The record is from Ensembl.
GUAGCAUUUGCCAAGGGCCACAGCAACGGACUGACUUCAAGCUAGCAGCGGGCAGAGCUAUGCACAGAGGUCCUCCUGACCACCGUGGGGUCUCCUGAACUCUGUGCCAUCAUGCCACACCCUGCCUCUCCGAGACUACGUCCAGAUGUCCUGAUGGGAGCUGUGGGCUGUUCUCAGACUUCUUAGUAGCACAUUUACCAGGUGGAUUCUUUACCACUGAGCCACCCAGGAAGCCCUGUGUUAUAUACAUCCAACCACAAUUUUAUAAAAGGAAUUGUUGGUAUGGUAUUCAGCUAAGCAUAGACUUGUCAGGUGCCUCGUCAUCCAGCAUCAUUAUCCUUAAAGGAAAGUGGAUGUGGCCUACUCUUCACUCCAGCAAUCAUAUGAAGAUAAGUCUCUACCCUCUUGGAGGAGCGUGCUAAGUCAAUUCAGUCACGUCUGACUCUUUGCAACCCUAUGGACUGUAGAUCACCAGGCUCCUCUGUCCAUGGGAUUCUCCAAGGUGGGUUCUUUACCACUAGCGCCACCUGGGAAGCCCACUGGAGGAGCAGCAACCACGUUUAAGGCCUUGAUUUGACUCCAGGGGCAGACUAGAUUGGACUAGAAGGAAUCCCAGUGGCCUCGCCUGUGAUCCGCUUUGGACUGGAGCUGACUCACCUGGUUUAACACCUUGCAACCCUCUAUGUGCACCUAUGUGAAGCUAAGCCUACAGCCAAGGGGUCUUCCGGAUGCACCUUUAUGUCCUGGCUCUGAGGUCUGUGUGGUUUGGGGCCACAGAUACACCCCUUUUCUCAUCCAUAAAACAGGACUCACUUCACAGAACCAUGGUAAGGAUAAAAUCAUCCAAAGGAUAAUUUUAUCGUCAUGCAAAGACCUUGGCAUAAACCAAGUGCUCACAUAGUGAGAGACAUUAAGGUACUGGAUCUGGCCCUUAAAAGGAUGACUCAGUGUAUUCAAAACCUCAUUCCAUGGAUUACAGCGUCAAAGUCUUUCUCAAAUACCCUAGUGUCCUCUGUUUUUUUUCCAGGUAUCAGUUAAGGAGAGGCCAGGAAGAUAAUGGUUGAGGCCAAACAAGGACAUGUGUGGGUGAAGCGUGACCAGAGGGGAGGGUGUGGUCUGUGACAAAGCAGUGAGGGGAGGCCCUGCCAGGGAGCAGCCAUCUCUGCUCCAGCCAAGUGUUGCCAGGCAGUGGGAGUUGCAGGAUGCCAGUAUUUUUAAGAAAAGUCAGAAAAUCAGAUUUUUUUUUUUCCCCUGAAAUUCUCCAGAUUUUUUAAACUCUUCAAGUAAUUAAAAAAAUAAAGUUAAACCCUGUCCAGCCCAAACGAAAUAGAAGUCAGGGCUGAAUUUGGCACAGCUCCCCAGGUGUUACACUUGCUUUGAAGUCUGGAGGUCAGUCUGUGAGUUCCAAAUGCCAAGGCCACCUGGCCUCUGUCCCUGCUCUCUGUCCCUGCAUGUCUCCAUCCAGCCUCUUGACCCUCAAAAGGCAGGGGAAAAUACUUUUAUGUGUGGACAGCUGAAGAUUCGAUGUGAAAACCAUCAGAGGGAAGAAAUGGACAUUUCUGCAACUCCCUCCCCACCGUGCAGACAUUCUGUUUCCUUGGAGGCCAAAAGUCAACCUGCUUCAGCUGAAUUCAUUUCAACCAAAUUUCCUAAAUACCGCAGGCCAAGCACUAAGCUAGGCCUUGGGUAUGUCUUUUUUUUUUUUUUUUGCAUGCCUACUGUGUGCUUGGCAUGGAGUUAGAAGUUUUAACUACUUCAUCUCACAACAACCUUGUGAGGUAGAAAGGAUUGUUGCAGUCAAAAUCUUGGCUGUCUCUGCUCACCGAAGUUGAAUAAAAAAAUACAGAGACAGAGUUUGGAGGAAAUGGAAAGGUGGCUUUAACUCUCAGCGGGUGGAAGCGGGGAACACAGUACUCUCAUGCCUCAAGGGGCUUCCCAGCUGGUGCUAGUGGGAAAGAACUGAUCUGCCAAUGCAGGAAACAUGCAAGACACGGGUUCGAUCCCUGGGUAGGGAAGAUCCGCUGCAGGAGGGCAUGGUAACCCACUCUGAUAUUCUUGCCUCAAGAACUGUGCCCCCACCCCUUUUUCACGAGGAAUCUGGUGGAUUAUACAGAUGAGGGCUCACAGUCAGGGGUCGAUGAUGAGGAACAAAAAGUCUAAGGACCUUGUAUUCUUUUUCCUCUUCAGUUCAGUUCAGCUGCUCAGUUGUGUCUGACUCUUCGUGACCCCAUGGACUGUAGCAUGCCAG